AUUUCCUUAGCUGCUGAGGACAUUCCAGAGGAGGUGAAUGAAGCCACAGAGCCAGAUGAAGUCAUUGAAGAGUUUGAUGUUGAUAAAGAGCCACCAGUAGAAAGCAAGCAGACAGAAGAUGAUGUGGCCACAGAACCAGAGGAAUCAGAAACUCCUGCUCAAGCUGAGGAUUAUUUGAAUGAUGAUGCAGUGGAUACUUAAAGCUUCAAAAGAAACAAUCCCUACAUCAGGAGGACCAGCCCUAAACCAUACUCUCCAAAAAAAAACACACAGACACACA
Dryobates pubescens (Downy woodpecker) is the source of this 280-nucleotide long non-coding RNA. RefSeq lists it as uncharacterized. The transcript has 5 exons. Lineage: Eukaryota; Metazoa; Chordata; Aves; Piciformes; Picidae. The record is from RefSeq and is a predicted model, not a curated record.